AAUUCAUAAUGUGCUGCAGUUUAAUGUGUUGUACUAUUGACUUCAAUUGCUUGCUGUCUCUCGUAGUGAUGGAGUGUCUUACACUUUGUGGACAAGGUGGGAAAUAAAUGGUAGUCCUGAAAAGAGUUUAUACAGGCAGUGAAGUUAGUACAAUUUUGAUGUCAGCAUGGUUGUGUUAGGUGUUAAAAUGAUAUAUGAUCCUUUAUUACCAGGACAUAAGAAGAGACUAACACAAACGAUGAAAUCUCUUCUUGCUAAAUCAGUUUCUGCUCAGUCUACUUACGUUGACUUGACGUUAUCUUUUAAUAAUGAUUUACCAGGACCUCCUGUUAGAUAU
Molecule: long non-coding RNA, 337 nt
Organism: Amphimedon queenslandica
Lineage: Eukaryota; Metazoa; Porifera; Demospongiae; Haplosclerida; Niphatidae
Exons: 3
Source: RefSeq, a predicted model, not a curated record